This 464-nucleotide ribosomal RNA is filed under the name Vreelandella stevensii. RNAcentral describes it as "partial 16S ribosomal RNA". It matches the Rfam family "Bacterial small subunit ribosomal RNA", at positions 338 to 795 of the family's 1533-position model. Lineage: Bacteria; Pseudomonadati; Pseudomonadota; Gammaproteobacteria; Oceanospirillales; Halomonadaceae. The record is from RNAcentral.
CCUACGGGUGGCAGCAGUGGGGAAUAUUGGACAAUGGGGGAACCCUGAUCCAGCCAUGCCGCGUGUGUGAAGAAGGCCCUCGGGUUGUAAAGCACUUUCAGUGAGGAAGAACGCCUGGUGGUUAAUACCCAUCAGGAAAGACAUCACUCACAGAAGAAGCACCGGCUAACUCCGUGCCAGCAGCCGCGGUAAUACGGAGGGUGCGAGCGUUAAUCGGAAUUACUGGGCGUAAAGCGCGCGUAGGUGGCUUGAUAAGCCGGUUGUGAAAGCCCCGGGCUCAACCUGGGAACGGCAUCCGGAACUGUCAAGCUAGAGUGCAGGAGAGGAAGGUAGAAUUCCCGGUGUAGCGGUGAAAUGCGUAGAGAUCGGGAGGAAUACCAGUGGCGAAGGCGGCCUUCUGGACUGACACUGACACUGAGGUGCGAAAGCGUGGGUAGCAAACAGGAUUAGAUACCCUGGUAGUC